GUUAGUUGAUUUCUUUCAGCCAGUGAAAAUAUUGUGCUUCCUCGUGACCGCCAAUGUGUCCGAUGUGAAAUUUGCCAUCAUUAGCACUGAUUCUUUCCCCUCAUAGGGCUCCAUAUUGAUGGCCUUUAACAGGAACACACUGAAAAUGGAGGAAUGUGGAUUCCCAGCAUGAGAGAAGUGUUCAUUUCCUGCAGCACUCUUGAGAAGCAACCACAGUCCGAAGCCCAUCAUCUUACACAAAGGAUCUAUACUGCAGAGGUGGCACACCAUCUACCUGUGUUAUAAAAAUGGUACCAGUUUAGAGCAUGCACAUUACUUCAGGAAAAUAAAGUUCGGGUCACUGUAUUGUCUGAGCACCUUUGGUUAAGGUGAGUUCUCUCUCUCUCAAAAUGAAAUCAUAAGGCUAGAAAUUAGAAAAACAAGAGACAUAAUACACUAAGUAUUUAAAACUAAUACAUAGAUUUGUUUUCGUGAAAGAGAAAGUCAUUCUUAUUUGUGAACCAGAAUGAGCAUGCUUUUGAUUUCUCUUAAAGAAAUGUCCCUCUCAAGUUGAAUUGCUAAGUAGAG
RNAcentral lists this long non-coding RNA (567 nucleotides) under Callithrix jacchus (white-tufted-ear marmoset). RNAcentral describes it as "lncRNA (ENSCJAG00000078999.1)". Lineage: Eukaryota; Metazoa; Chordata; Mammalia; Primates; Cebidae. The record is from RNAcentral.